AUUGAACGCUGGCGGCAGGCCUAACACAUGCAAGUCGAGCGGAUGAAGGGAGCUUGCUCCUGGAUUCAGCGGCGGACGGGUGAGUAAUGCCUAGGAAUCUGCCUGGUAGUGGGGGAUAACGUCCGGAAACGGGCGCUAAUACCGCAUACGUCCUGAGUGAGAAAGUGGGGGAUCUUCGGACCUCACGCUAUCAGAUGAGCCUAGGUCGGAUUAGCUAGUUGGUGGGGUAAAGGCCUACCAAGGCGACGAUCCGUAACUGGUCUGAGAGGAUGAUCAGUCACACUGGAACUGAGACACGGUCCAGACUCCUACGGGAGGCAGCAGUGGGGAAUAUUGGACAAUGGGCGAAAGCCUGAUCCAGCCAUGCCGCGUGUGUGAAGAAGGUCUUCGGAUUGUAAAGCACUUUAAGUUGGGAAGAAGAGCAGUAAGUUAAUACCUUGCUGUUUUGACGGUACCAACAGAAUAAGCACCGGCUAACUUCGUG
This 484-nucleotide ribosomal RNA is filed under the name uncultured bacterium. RNAcentral's name for it is "partial 16S ribosomal RNA". It matches the Rfam family "Bacterial small subunit ribosomal RNA", at positions 30 to 507 of the family's 1533-position model. The record is from RNAcentral.